UUAAACUGGCAUAUAAGAAUGUUGUUCCAACCCUCAACCCUCACAAUAUCCACAUACAUAUCUUAAAAUAGCACUCAAGAAGAAAGCUUGACGCAGGAGAAAGACAGCAUACUAUUCACUGAAAUCAAUGCUGCCACUGCGAGAGCUGCUGGCGUUGCGACUAUGUAAGGAGAGGCCCCUCAUGUGACUGGACGGAGCCGAG
RNAcentral lists this unclassified non-coding RNA (202 nucleotides) under Hevea brasiliensis (rubber tree). Lineage: Eukaryota; Viridiplantae; Streptophyta; Magnoliopsida; Malpighiales; Euphorbiaceae. The record is from RNAcentral.